RNAcentral lists this ribosomal RNA (492 nucleotides) under uncultured bacterium. Its description in RNAcentral is "partial 16S ribosomal RNA". It matches the Rfam family "Bacterial small subunit ribosomal RNA", at positions 29 to 507 of the family's 1533-position model. The record is from RNAcentral.
AGUGAACGCUGGCGGUAGGCCUAACACAUGCAAGUCGAACGGCAGCACAUUAAGAGCUUGCUCUUACGGGUGGCGAGUGGCGGACGGGUGAGGAAUACAUCGGAAUCUACUUUUUCGUGGGGGAUAACGUAGGGAAACUUACGCUAAUACCGCAUACGACCUACGGGUGAAAGCAUGGGAUCUUCGGACCUUGCGCGAUUGAAUGAGCCGAUGUCGGAUUAGCUAGUUGGCGGGGUAAAGGCCCACCAAGGCGACGAUCCGUAGCUGGUCUGAGAGGAUGAUCAGCCACACUGGAACUGAGACAAGGUACAGACUCCUACGGGAGGCAGCAGUGGGGAAUAUUGGACAAUGGGCGCAAGCCUGAUCAAGCCAUACCGCGUGGGUGAAGAAGGCCUUCGGGUUGUAAAGCCCUUUUGUUGGGAAAGAAAAGCAGCAGGUUAAUACCCCGCUGUUCUGACGGUACCCAAAGAAUAAGCACCGGAUAACUUCGUG